AUAUAUAUAUAUAUAUAUAUAUAUAUAGAUUUUUUUUCCCAGUUUAUUCUUUUCCUACUUUGGUCUGGUUUGAGGAGACAUUGGAAAACUUGGGGAGCUCUUUCCUUUUUUUAAUUGAAUUAUUUUGGUGAUGCUUGUUGGACGAAUCGAAUUCAGUGGAACCGAAUACGUUUCUAUUCUGUCUAAAGAUCCCCCGUGAAUUAUGUCUAAAUGCUGCGGAAACGAUGAGCUUUAUUUCAUCAGAGUUUUCUGUAUACAGGGAAGAUCUGUGAUGUCCAAUGUGUAAAAAUUUGUGUAAAUGAAAGAAGAAAAAGAAAGAAACAUGACUCUAAACAUAAACAUCAAACACAAAGAAGAAGCUUAUAUAGAAAGCAGAAGAAAAUCCUGACAGUGAGAACAAACUCACAACACGAUUGGUGAAUUCUCAGCUAGACCCUGAAACCGACGCGAUGACGAGUUCACACUGGCGGGUGUUGGUCAGCUGUCUGCCUUACGAUCCGUACAGUUCUGUCAUUGGCCUGGAAGAAGCUCCGAGCCGUUUUCAACCAUCCAGAUGAUGGAGUGAAACUGUCAGUGGAGGAGACGGAACCAGCACGGACCCAGAGCUCAGUGCGACCGUUCUACUCCGACUACGAUGGACCAGAUUCUCCAGCGGUUGUUGGACAUCUGUCUGUCUGCAGAUUAACGCCGUGGAAGAGGAGCAGGAACCUGUUCACGCGUCAAGAUGAUGAUGUGAGAGCCGGAGGAGGAAACGUUCCAGGCUCCGUCCAGCCGUUCUCAACGAACUUCAGAACCUACGACGCGUUAGACACCGACCCGACUCAGUCUGACCUCACACUGUUUGAUUGUAAUAUACGUGUUACAAAUUAAAAAUGCAUAUUGUGGACAUCUAAUCGUCUAAUUAUUGCGUUCAUCAUCACAGUAAACUAUCAAUUCUUCUAUUCAGUAACAAACACAGUAACUAACACUCGUAUUAACUGCUUGCUUUUAAUAAUACACUAACCGAGCUGAAUAAUCACAAUUAAACCCACACACAACAGCUUGGGUCAUGCCUCUGUUCAAUUCUCAAUACUGUGAUGACAGAACAGAUCUACUCCACUGGACUUGGACUGUGUGAGUGCAAAUAAUUUACACACCCUGUGAAGUGGUCCUGGACUUCUGAAUCUCAGUAUUUCCGGCACGCGCUGACUCACUCACAGUGCACCUGGAUGAAACUAUGACUCAGUUACUUAAUGCCCCUCUUGUACCUCUCACACGGUGUACCUGCACUUUACAAACCUGCAUCAGUCACUUUCUAUUCAUGGAACUCAUUUAGCUGCCAGUACUGCUGCUGUACGUAUUGCUCCUACACUAUUCGAUAGUUUAUAGUUACAGCCCAUGUCCUGUUUAUUUACUGCCCUGUGUCACCAUGG
This is a long non-coding RNA of Ictalurus punctatus (channel catfish), 1412 nucleotides long. The record is from Ensembl. NCBI's taxonomy places the organism in Eukaryota, Metazoa, Chordata, Actinopteri, Siluriformes, Ictaluridae.